AGCUAAAUGUUUGGAAUUUUUUGGUAGCUAUGAUGACCAGACAUUCUGCAUUGCAAUAACAAUAGAUAUGUAUUUAUUGAGUACUUAUGUAAUAGGAGUGGAGCAAGCAUGCAGCCGUUAGUCUGUAAUUCUUAUCAGGAGACCUUGAGCGUGGCCAACAGUCAGUGUCCCAGUGGUCCUUGUGGCAGAGAGUGCAGAUUAAGGCCUUCUCCCUGGGGCCCUCUAGGCCCCCCAGCCUCCGGGCCAGUGGAUGAGCUGGGCAGCCUGGGGACAGGCUGAGGGCUGGAUCCUGAAGAGCUCCAGAGUCCUCACCGUAGCUGGGCACAGGCCUGGAAGCAGCAGCGAACCUUUUCCGCAAACCCACAGUCCAUGGAGUCCUCAGCAACUGGAGUGUACGGACAUGGCCUUUAAGCUGCUUCUCCUUGAAGACAACAACAUACCAGCCCCAACCUCACAGAUGGUGUUAGUCAUCCUGAUAAUGCACCUCAGUUAAUAUUCAAGUCGGGAUCCAGCUACACUUACUUGCUUUGUGCAACAGGUACUUGAACAACAAGCUGUAGAUACAUUGACGUUUGCUAAAUCAAAUUAGUUUUUUAAUGUACUGGAGUGGCUUGCUAUUUGAAGGUAAUUGAUGUUAAAACCCUAAAAUAAAAAAAAUGGUUUGCAAAGAAAAUGUUCA
This 679-nucleotide long non-coding RNA is filed under the name Bos indicus x Bos taurus (hybrid cattle). RNAcentral describes it as "lncRNA (ENSBIXG00000014972.1)". Lineage: Eukaryota; Metazoa; Chordata; Mammalia; Artiodactyla; Bovidae. The record is from RNAcentral.